AUGUUAAUCUACAUCUCGAGUAGAUCAACGUGAUAUACUUGAAGUCUCAAAACCGAUUUUCGAUGAGUGAGAUAUUGUAUGUCAAAGUUUGGAUGUUGAAGAGGGAAAAUAAAUGCUAUCCCACAUUGGAAAACAUAGAGAUGUUUUUCAUGUAUAAGAAUAGCAAAGCACAUGGAGUUGAUAAAUUGACUUGUGGGCUUGCU
This 203-nucleotide long non-coding RNA is filed under the name Salvia miltiorrhiza (redroot sage). Its description in RNAcentral is "long non-coding RNA (SMIL_LNC009985)". Lineage: Eukaryota; Viridiplantae; Streptophyta; Magnoliopsida; Lamiales; Lamiaceae. The record is from RNAcentral.